AAGAGAAGAGUGAAAAUUGUGAAAUUGGGUCACUCCCCGCAGUCCCUAGAGUUGGAUGAGUGAGCCAAAGCGUUUUAUAGCCGACCCAGCCAUUGUCCUAAUCUAGAAACGGCCCGGUUAGCUUUAGCUUAG
Alosa sapidissima (American shad) is the source of this 132-nucleotide long non-coding RNA. RefSeq lists it as uncharacterized. The record is from RefSeq and is a predicted model, not a curated record. The transcript has 3 exons. NCBI's taxonomy places the organism in Eukaryota, Metazoa, Chordata, Actinopteri, Clupeiformes, Clupeidae.